GUGAACGGACGGUGAAUCAUGAUGUCACCCGGCCAUGAGUUAAACUUAAAUUUCGUUCAGUCAGUUAUCAACUUUGGUGGUGAUCAUACGUAUACGUCGGUACUCCAUUCAUUUUUAAGAUUGGGUUAUUCAAGAUGGGAGCUGACGCACCAGCCAGACCACAAACGUUAUAGAAGUUGGAACCUAAUUACUAACGAAAGCCUUGCACAAGGAAGCCAAAGGAGCGGCACUACAGAACAAGGGAAGUAUAAGGUGAAGGCACGAUAUUGGAGCGGGACGAUGCCUAUACCAUAAGUGAAAGCGCAAACGCAAACCAGAGAUCGAGGGUAAAUUUUCAAGGGCCUCCUUUUCGUCCUGACAAACAACUCUCCUGGUGGCUUCUUUAUCAAGAACAACUAUGACUUUAGUGACCUAACCGAUAACAUCUGAGAAGUCUUGUAUGUAAAUGUCGGCCUGUUUGCUCUUCAGUCUUUGGAAAGACUUCCUGCUUCCCAAAUAUCGAAAAUUUGAUCAAGUGCAUGAAAGGAAGUUAAGUGCCACUUCCACACGAUUUUCAGCCAAAUUCCAUGAAAUGGGCUCUUAACCUUAUCGCCCGCCCGGAGAAUGAUAAGGGACACCCAUAACAGCGAAGAUUCAGCCAUCGACCUAGAGGACGACUUCUUGAAUUAUUCUGACGUCGUCCGUCGCUCCGGACCAAUUGAUGACUAACCAGGCUUGGAGGAUUAAGACUUAUUAACUUCUCAAGAAUCUCCCUGUCGUCAUGAACUUUAAUCCAUGAACCGUUUUUGUUUUGGAUUUUCUGGAUCCCUGCACCUUCGUGAGCUUG
Long non-coding RNA from Macrobrachium nipponense, 826 nucleotides. RefSeq lists it as uncharacterized. The record is from RefSeq and is a predicted model, not a curated record. Lineage: Eukaryota; Metazoa; Arthropoda; Malacostraca; Decapoda; Palaemonidae. The transcript is spliced from 4 exons.